GCAACCAUAGCUCAGUUGGUUAGAACUUGGUGUUGAUAAUGCCCAGGUUGCAGGUUCGAUUCCCACAUGGGGCAGCUACA
This is a non-coding RNA of Podarcis lilfordi (Lilford's wall lizard), 80 nucleotides long. NCBI's taxonomy places the organism in Eukaryota, Metazoa, Chordata, Lepidosauria, Squamata, Lacertidae. The record is from the annotation of a GenBank genome assembly.